Molecule: transfer RNA, 64 nt
Filed under: Cavia porcellus (domestic guinea pig)
Lineage: Eukaryota; Metazoa; Chordata; Mammalia; Rodentia; Caviidae
Rfam family: tRNA
About the family: Transfer RNA (tRNA) molecules are approximately 80 nucleotides in length.
Source: Rfam by way of RNAcentral
GGGGAUUUAGCUCAGUGGUGUAAGCACCUGCUUGGCAUGCAGGAGGUUGUGAGUGCGAUCCCCG